Anolis sagrei ordinatus is the source of this 795-nucleotide non-coding RNA. The record is from RefSeq and is a predicted model, not a curated record. Lineage: Eukaryota; Metazoa; Chordata; Lepidosauria; Squamata; Anolidae.
AUGUCUGUGGAAUGCCCAGGGUGGGAGAAAGAAGGUGUUGGAGAAAAUAUACUUUUUUCUGGCUCUUUUGGAGGAAAAGAACUGGAUUCCAAAACGAUUCUCUGCUAUCAAGAGGAGGAAGAAAGCGUCAGUCUGCUCCUGGAGCCAAUUGUUCUAGUCUGGCUGAGAGCAGACUGAAAGGACAAGCUUGAAUGGAUUUCAUAGGAGGCUGAAGGUUAUCUUCCUCACCAGGAAAGAUAAUUGCUUUGUUUUUACAAUUUGGAAAAAGGGCACAGUAAGAGAAUCAGGGAAGCUUUUCUGCCGUGCUGGAUUAUGCUUUUGCAAUGGCUUUUUAAGGCGCCAGUGUAGUGUAAAGGUUUCAGUAUUAGACUGUGAAUUUGGAGCUCGGGAUUCAAAUCCUCAGAUAUAGAAACUCACUGGGUGACCUUGGGCAUUGACCCCGGUGGCACAAUGAGUUAAACCCUUGCACCGGCAGGACUGCUGACCAAAAGAUUGGCAGUUCAAAUCCCGGGGGGGGGGGUGAGCUCCUGUCUUUCGGCUCCAGCUUCCCAUGCGGGGACAUGAGAGAAGCCUCCCACAGUAUGGUAAAACAUCCAGACACCCCCUGGGCAACGUCCUUGUGGAUGCCCUAUUUUCUCACACCAGAUGCGGCUUGCAUUUUCUCAAGUAAUUCCUGACACGGGGGGAAAAAACCUUGGGUAUGUCAUGUCACACUUUCUCAGCCUUAGAGGAAAUAAAAGAUAAAUACUGUACAAAUAAAGUUUGCCAAGAAAACCCUGUGAAAGGGUCACAUUA